GAUGAACGCUGGCGGCGUGCCUAAUACAUGCAAGUCGAGCGAACAGACGAGGAGCUUGCUCCUCUGACGUUAGCGGCGGACGGGUGAGUAACACGUGGAUAACCUACCUAUAAGACUGGGAUAACUUCGGGAAACCGGAGCUAAUACCGGAUAAUAUAUUGAACCGCAUGGUUCAAUAGUGAAAGACGGUUUUGCUGUCACUUAUAGAUGGAUCCGCGCCGCAUUAUCUAGUUGGUAAGGUAACGGCUUACCAAGGCAACGAUGCGUAGCCGACCUGAGAGGGUGAUCGGCCCCACUGGAACUGAGACACGGACCAGACUCCUACGGGAGGCAGCAGUAGGGAAUCUUCCGCAAUGGGCGAAAGCUUGACGGAGCAACGCCGCGUGAGUGAUGAAGGUCUUCGGAUCGUAAAACUCUGUUAUUAGGGAAGAACAAAUGUGUAAGUAACUAUGCACGUCUUGACGGUACCUAAUCAGAAAGCCACGGCUAACUACGUG
This 497-nucleotide ribosomal RNA is filed under the name uncultured bacterium. RNAcentral's name for it is "partial 16S ribosomal RNA". It matches the Rfam family "Bacterial small subunit ribosomal RNA", at positions 28 to 507 of the family's 1533-position model. The record is from RNAcentral.